UACGUAGGGUGCAGGCGUUAAUCGGAAUUACUGGGCGUAAAGCGUGCGCAGGCGGCGCGUUAAGACAGGUGUGAAAGCCCCGAGCUUAACUUGGGAAUUGCGCUUGUGACUGGCGUGCUGGAGUGUGUCAGAGGGGGGUAGAAUUCCACGUGUAGCAGUGAAAUGCGUAGAGAUGUGGAGGAAUACCGAUGGCGAAGGCAGCCCCCUGGGAUAACACUGACGCUCAUGCACGAAAGCGUGGGGAGCAAACAGG
RNAcentral lists this ribosomal RNA (253 nucleotides) under uncultured bacterium. RNAcentral's name for it is "partial 16S ribosomal RNA". It matches the Rfam family "Bacterial small subunit ribosomal RNA", at positions 524 to 776 of the family's 1533-position model. The record is from RNAcentral.